Molecule: transfer RNA, 85 nt
Filed under: Bacteriovoracaceae bacterium
Lineage: Bacteria; Pseudomonadati; Bdellovibrionota; Bacteriovoracia; Bacteriovoracales; Bacteriovoracaceae
Description: tRNA-Leu
Rfam family: tRNA
About the family: Transfer RNA (tRNA) molecules are approximately 80 nucleotides in length. Their secondary structure includes four short double-helical elements and three loops (D, anti-codon, and T loops). Further hydrogen bonds mediate the characteristic L-shaped molecular structure. tRNAs have two regions of fundamental functional importance: the anti-codon, which is responsible for specific mRNA codon recognition, and the 3' end, to which the tRNAs corresponding amino acid is attached (by aminoacyl-tRNA synthetases). tRNAs cope with the degeneracy of the genetic code in two manners: having more than one tRNA (with a specific anti-codon) for a particular amino acid; and 'wobble' base-pairing, i.e. permitting non-standard base-pairing at the 3rd anti-codon position.
Source: RNAcentral
GCUCAGGUGGUGGAAUUGGUAGACACGCACGCUUGAGGGGCGUGUAUCGAAAGAUGUGCUGGUUCAAGUCCAGUUCUGAGCACCA